Pomacea canaliculata is the source of this 836-nucleotide long non-coding RNA. RefSeq lists it as uncharacterized. The record is from RefSeq and is a predicted model, not a curated record. NCBI's taxonomy places the organism in Eukaryota, Metazoa, Mollusca, Gastropoda, Architaenioglossa, Ampullariidae. The transcript has 3 exons.
UGCUUGCAACAUCUGCGCUGGCAGAGAAUGGUUCAGUUGGCAACGGACAUCGAUUUCUGCAGUUUUGCACUGGCGUACUCGUCGAUGCUUCCACGUCGAGCCAGACAUUGUUCCCAUAAUUACUGUAACCAGCGCAGCCUCGCUGCAGACAUUUCAUAUGCAUUUGCAAGCUUUUUUGUAAGCGUAUCACUGCACUCAUGGACUGACUUAAAUUCAUACUUCUGAUGUCAUUGAAUGCCAAGCCCAAUAUGUGAGAUUCAGCACAUUUUACUAAGACACUGAACAAUCAUCAGCUAGCAAUUGUGAUGUCAAGGAAGAUAAGGUCUUCACCUCUAUCCAAAACUCAGUUCAGGUGAGUUCUCAACCAUGGUUUGAGGUAAACUUGUCCAACCAUGCCAGCAUGUCGUAAAGACCAGCGAAGGUUUGCACUUUUCCUGGCUGCAGUCAUAGCUAUAGAGGUUGUGGCAGUGGUGCUUUUUAUGCACAAUGAACACAGGCAGGUGUCACUGAUGGACCAUCCAAUACAAAAGUCCAAGACUCUUCCUAGAAAAAAUCUGACUGCACUGGAACAAGCUGUGCAUGAUGAGCACUUGCUGUUAAAUGCUUUGAUUAACAGGAAAAAAACACUGACUCAGGAGACUUAAGUGUCGUCUUCCUCAAAUAGGGUAGUUAUAUUUUGUUAUACAUGUUCUGACAUUAAAAAUGUGCAUAGUGCAAAACUUGGCAGACUAUAUAUUUAAACAUUUUACCAUCUGUCUUCAGUCAUGAAGAUUUAUUAUUUUGGACUGAAAAUUGGUGUAUUCAUUUCUUUCAACUAGUCAAUGGCUAAAUGCAUA